GGAGCGGCCACAGCUGGCGGAAUGCGAGGAGCCGUCCAUCUACAGCCCGGCCUUCCCCAGGGAGAAGUGGCAGCGAAAACGCACGCAGGUCAAGAUCCGGAACGUCACUUCCAACCACCGGGCGAGCGACACGGUGGUGUGCGAGGGCCGCCCCCAGGUGCUAAGCGGGCGCUUCAUGUACGGGCCCCUGGACGUCGUCACGCUCACCGGAGAGAAGGUGGAUGUCUACAUCAUGACGCAGCCGCUGUCGGGCAAGUGGAUCCACUUUGGCACCGAAGUCACCAAUAGCUCGGGCCGCCUCACCUUCCCAGUUCCCCCAGAACGCGCGCUGGGCAUUGGUGUCUACCCCGUGCGCAUGGUGGUCAGGUGAGCGCGGCUGGCCGGGCCUCUGCGGGAGGGCUCCACCAGGCCUCGCCCCGCGCCACUCACGCCCCGCCCCGUGGGCCGCAGGGGCGACCACACCUAUGCCGAAUGCUGCCUGACUGUGGUGGCCCGCGGCACGGAGGCUGUGGUCUUCAGCAUCGACGGCUCCUUCACCGCCAGCGUCUCCAUCAUGGGCAGCGACCCCAAGGUGCGAGCUGGCGCCGUGGACGUGGUCAGGCACUGGCAGGACUCCGGCUACCUGAUCGUGUAUGUCACAGGCCGGCCGGAUAUGCAGAAGCACCGCGUGGUGGCCUGGCUGUCGCAGCACAACUUCCCCCACGGCGUCGUCUCCUUCUGCGACGGCCUCACCCACGACCCACUACGCCA
This 750-nucleotide small RNA is filed under the name Pan troglodytes (chimpanzee). Its description in RNAcentral is "retained intron". The record is from RNAcentral. Lineage: Eukaryota; Metazoa; Chordata; Mammalia; Primates; Hominidae.